GACGAACGCUGGCGGCGUGCUUAACACAUGCCAGUCGAGCGGAAAGGCCCUUCUGGGUACUCGAGCGGCGAACGGGUGAGUAACACGUGAGUAACCUUCCCUAGUCUUUGGGAUAACCCCGGGAAACCGGGGCUAAUACCGGAUAUGACCUGGUGCCGCAUGGUGUUGGGUGGAAAGUUUUUUCGGCCUGGGAUGGGCUGGCGGCCUAUCAGCUUGUUGGUGGGGUGAUGGUCUACCAAGGCGAUGACGGGUAGCCGGCCUGGGAGGGCGACCGGCCACACUGGGACUGAGACAAGGCCCAGACUCCUACGGGAGGCAGCAGUGGGGAAUAUUGCACAAUGGGCGGAAGCCUGAUGCAGCGACGCCGUGUGAGGGAUGAAGGCCUUCGGGUUGUAAACCUCUUUCAGCAGGGACGAAGCGUGAGUGACGGUACCUGCAGAAGAAGCGCCGGCCAACUACGUG
This 462-nucleotide ribosomal RNA is filed under the name uncultured bacterium. RNAcentral's name for it is "partial 16S ribosomal RNA". It matches the Rfam family "Bacterial small subunit ribosomal RNA", at positions 28 to 507 of the family's 1533-position model. The record is from RNAcentral.